This is a long non-coding RNA of Sceloporus undulatus (fence lizard), 269 nucleotides long. RefSeq lists it as uncharacterized. The transcript has 3 exons. The record is from RefSeq and is a predicted model, not a curated record. Lineage: Eukaryota; Metazoa; Chordata; Lepidosauria; Squamata; Phrynosomatidae.
ACAAAUAGACUAAUUCUUUGAAAACCACCACCACCAUCACCCCACUCAGUUUGGGAAAACACUGAGCCUCAGUAUUCUCUGCCUCAGGAGUUGCUGAUUAUGAAUUCGGAACAAAAGGAAGGAUCUACAGUAGCUGGAAAGACACAAGGAAGUUGCAGCAAAAUAUCUAGUGCCAGUGUGACACACUUCCUACCCCAGAAGAAAAUUGUAUGUCAGACUAACUGGACAAUAAUUGUUGGGAUCCUCUUUUUUCCCCUCUUUGAAGAUGG